GACGAACGCUGGCGGCGUGCCUAAUACAUGCAAGUUGAGCGCUGACGCUUGGUACUUGUACCAACUGGAUGAGCAGCGGACGGGUGAGUAACGCGUGGGGAAUCUGCCUUUGAGCGGGGGACAACAUCUGGAAACGACUGCUAAUACCGCAUAAUAACUUUAAACACAAGUUUCAAGUUUGAAAGAUGCAAUUGCAUCACUCAAAGAUGAUCCCGCGUUGGAUUAGCUAGUUGGUUAGGUAAAGGGCCACCCAGGCGAAGGUACAUAGCCGGCCCGGAAGGGGUGAUGGCCCAAAUGGGAACGGGGACAGGGCCAAGACCCUUAGGGGAGGAGCAAUAGGGGAACUUCGGCAAUGGGCGAAAGGCUGGACGAGCAACGCCCGGGGGGGGAAGAAAGGUUUCGGGUUGUAAAACUCUGUUUGUUGGGAAGGAAGUUGGGGAGAGUGGAAAGCUCAUCUAGUGACGGUAACUACCCAGAAAGCGACGGCUAACUACGUG
RNAcentral lists this ribosomal RNA (497 nucleotides) under uncultured bacterium. RNAcentral's name for it is "partial 16S ribosomal RNA". It matches the Rfam family "Bacterial small subunit ribosomal RNA", at positions 28 to 507 of the family's 1533-position model. The record is from RNAcentral.